GAUGACACCUAGUCAUACGAUAUUUUUAGAGUCAUUUUAGUGUCAAUUCUCAGUAGUAUCGAGUUAUAUUCAGCCAAUUAUGUUAAGUUUAGGUCAUUUUGCAAAGAGUUGAAGAUUUGGAUGCAUAUUGAAGAUAAUUGUUGUUCAAGCCAAUUAUAUGAAGAAAACUAGAAGAUUCUCACACUGCAAGCUGCGCCUCGCGCAGAAUGAUUGAACAAAAUGCAAGUCGGUCUCUGGUUGCUGCGCCUCGC
RNAcentral lists this long non-coding RNA (251 nucleotides) under Trifolium pratense (red clover). Its description in RNAcentral is "long non-coding RNA (TPRA_LNC013697)". Lineage: Eukaryota; Viridiplantae; Streptophyta; Magnoliopsida; Fabales; Fabaceae. The record is from RNAcentral.